GGUAUCAAAAGAAAGCUCUCAGAAUAAGCUUUUCAACGCCACCAGAAUUGCCUUGAUCGGAUGUUGGAUGGGGCCGGAACAGCGUCGAAAAGCCGCUGCCCAUUGUGUGCGCGUUUCUCUCUCUUCUCCUUAUCUUGCCGCCGCCUCUGGUGGUGUUGUCGGCCAUCUGGUGGCUCGCCGGCGUUGCUUGAAGCUGUUUGGUUGCCGGUCAGUCGUGGUUGCUCCUUCACCGGCCAGAAGUAUGGAGAAAAGGGAGAGAAG
This 261-nucleotide unclassified non-coding RNA is filed under the name Hevea brasiliensis (rubber tree). The record is from RNAcentral. Lineage: Eukaryota; Viridiplantae; Streptophyta; Magnoliopsida; Malpighiales; Euphorbiaceae.